Small nucleolar RNA from Tursiops truncatus (common bottlenose dolphin), 72 nucleotides. Lineage: Eukaryota; Metazoa; Chordata; Mammalia; Artiodactyla; Delphinidae. The record is from Ensembl.
UGGGCCAGAGAUGAGAAUAUACCAUGAGAAAAAGAUUAUAAUUAAUCCAGUUCUGCACAACUGAGAUUCACU